GCUCCGGAGCGCACACUAAACUCGGAACUCAGAGGUGAGCAUCGCCCCUGCCCGAGGGUGACGUGCAAAUCUGUGAAGCGGUCCAUAUUUUU
RNAcentral lists this small nuclear RNA (92 nucleotides) under Catagonus wagneri (Chacoan peccary). Lineage: Eukaryota; Metazoa; Chordata; Mammalia; Artiodactyla; Tayassuidae. The record is from RNAcentral.